GCCGGGCGCGGAGGCUCACGCCUGUAAUCCCAGCACUUUGGGAGGCCGAGGCGGGUGGCUCACCUGAGGUCAGGAGUUCAAGACCAGCCUGGCCAACAUGGUGAAACCCCGUCUCUA
Molecule: non-coding RNA, 117 nt
Organism: Gorilla gorilla gorilla (western lowland gorilla)
Lineage: Eukaryota; Metazoa; Chordata; Mammalia; Primates; Hominidae
Rfam family: Metazoan signal recognition particle RNA
About the family: The signal recognition particle (SRP) is a universally conserved ribonucleoprotein. It is involved in the co-translational targeting of proteins to membranes. The eukaryotic SRP consists of a 300-nucleotide 7S RNA and six proteins: SRPs 72, 68, 54, 19, 14, and 9.
Source: Rfam